UGCUAAAAAGUUGUGUUUAAUGAUUCAUUUACAUUGAAUUGAGGGUCUCGGGCCAUUUGGCGG
This 63-nucleotide transfer RNA is filed under the name Pomphorhynchus laevis. Its description in RNAcentral is "tRNA-Val". The record is from RNAcentral. Lineage: Eukaryota; Metazoa; Acanthocephala; Palaeacanthocephala; Echinorhynchida; Pomphorhynchidae. RNAcentral also lists the same sequence under 1 other name.